UAGGAAUAACAUAAAAAACACAUAAUAAUAUUGUUAAUGCACGAUCCCUGGGUAUAAAGGAAAAAUAAUAUAUUGGAAAUAACAUUUCAUUCACAACGCACAAUGAAUUUCAACUUGCUGUGGUUUUUUGUAACAAUCAUUUCUGUCAUGGUUUCCGUGAAAGCGGUUGACGCGAAUGCACAAAAUGAACAAGGUGAAGGUCGAGCAAAAAUUUUCAUAAGACAGAGACCAAGCUACUAUGGUUGAGGGGGAGUAUAGGAACAACAAGUUUCUGAACAUUGAAUAAAUAAAUCUUCUUAAUUCUCAAA
Molecule: long non-coding RNA, 308 nt
Organism: Coccinella septempunctata (seven-spotted ladybird)
Lineage: Eukaryota; Metazoa; Arthropoda; Insecta; Coleoptera; Coccinellidae
Exons: 2
Source: RefSeq, a predicted model, not a curated record